Cyprinus carpio carpio is the source of this 2730-nucleotide long non-coding RNA. Lineage: Eukaryota; Metazoa; Chordata; Actinopteri; Cypriniformes; Cyprinidae. The record is from Ensembl.
UUGGUCGUCCUCUCGCCUCUGUUCCCUCCUCGGCCUGGGGUUACUGCGAAUCUGGCGCUGAAGACUGAAGCUGCUAACGUUAUAUUCGGUAGGUUUUCUACUAAAAUGAGAGAAUUCAUCAAAUGGUAAAUGCAUUUGUUUUUGAAAGCAUUGAGUGCGGCAUUUCGCUGUUUCCAUGGUUUGAAACGGUAAUAGUGUGAGUGUUAAACAUUACGCGCUAACAUCUUUUUUGUGACGCACAACACCGUGUAGAAGUGUCCGUCUCGUCGCUGCAGAUGUGCAGUCUUUCUGCAGACAGAGCUGCUAUAACGAGGAACAUUUACCAAAAAUUUGAUUGACGUUAUCUAAUGCAAAAGUCUGAAAUUAGAGCACGUUUAAAAACUUCUAUUCGCUACUGUCUUGCGUUGCUUGUUCUCAGAGCUGAAUAUCAUGUCUAUCGUGUCGUCAUAUCUGCGUCAAGACACAAACGCGCUUCCGUGAAGUGUUUCUUAUGAUGAGUAACGUUUUGUUUAUGCAAGUAUCGUGAAAGUACGCAGCCCCGCACGUCACUUGUAGGAGAAAAACAUACAAUCCGUCCCGUCAGUUUGUAAACCGUACUCACGAAUUCUUAAACCGUUCCCUCGGUUUAACAAAAAGUGUCGGUUUAUAAACUGACGGGACGGAUUGUAUGUUUUUCUCCUACAAGUGACGUGCGGGGCUGCGUAUGAAUGUGAGUUAAAGGUAGGUGAAACUGUAAAUCUUCAGUUGUGUUUCAAAGAUAACAAAAGUCUUGGCUGAGUAAACUGAUGAACUUUUCAUUUUUUAACGAAUCCUGUAAUAAAAGUAUAUGGCCAUAUGUGUCACCCGAGAUGCUUGCUAAUGUCAGGUUGUGAACAGAGCCACUGUGUGACUACACAAUCAACUUAGCAGAAUGGUUCCUGAGAGAGAUGUUGUCAUUAAUUGUUUUUUUUUCUUUUUUUUCAAGAAGCCUCAGAAGACCUUCAAGGAUCCAGUUGACCUCUGAAUCAGCUGUUAAGAAAAUGGGACAGUUAUAUUGCUUCAAUUGGUCUCCUACUUCAUUUGAUUCCACCUUCAUUACAAGGCUGCAAGGGAUCUGGAAAAAUGUCAUCCUGUCAAGCUGAAAAACAUCUUCAAAAAGGUACAUUUGGACAUUUCUGUCAAUACCUAUUGUCUGCCUAAAAAUAUUGCCAAAUGGGUUGUAUAUGAAAAACACAUUUAAUAUUAAAAAAAAAACAGUUGGAGAGCUGACCUUGAGUGUUACUUUUGUCUUUUAUCUGCAGGCACUAACAAGAACAGCUUGAUUGCAGAGAAGAGACCACACAGCCAUACACGCUCACUGAUGGGACGAUGAGGAACAUCAUUCAUGGAUGCUACACAACUCAAAUCUACACGUCAUAUUUGUUCAUGUCUAGGUAAAUUUGAUGAUUUUGUGUUUUAUUAAUUACUUUGUUUCUGUGCAACACUUAAUGAAUGUGACUGACUAAUUAACCUCUACACAUCUGGUAUAUGCUUUAAAGUUGCCACUUUGCCCAUUUGUUCAAUAAAUGUUGAAAUGUAUACAUCUGUCUGAAGACUUUCCUGAUUUUAUGUCUAUCCUUUUACAUUAACUUUAUUUUUAUCAUAAUUAACAUUAUUUUUUUUGUUUGCACUGAAAAGAGGACAUUAUUAAUUAUGCUUAAAACAACAGCAGAGGUGUUAAAUACCCCAUAGUGUAAAAUUUGAACAGCAAUAGCAUGUGUAACACUUUACACUUGGAGUGUAAUUUUUCUAGACAUUGUUUAAAAUGAAAUGUAAAAUGUGAAAAUGAAAAGGAUUUAAUUAAAUUCUGAUUUUAAUUCAGUGUGUGUUAUAUAUAUAUAUAUAUAUAUAUAUAUAUACCUUUAGAAAUAACUGCAAAUUACAAGCUAAAUACAAAACUUAGUUCUAGAAUUUGCAUUCAGAGAUAGUUUGACAGCAAUUCCAACACAGCACAUAUGAGACCAAAUUGAAAAAGCUGAAAUGAACCUAUGUAUACACUGCAGAACAAAUAUUCCUCUGAAGAGUGUCUGACAUGUAUGUCUUGGAUCGUUAAUUUCAAUUACUAUCAAAAAAAUGCUUUUUGGAAAAAUAUACCUCAUACAUUAAUGGCAGAAGUCUAUAGAUAUAUUGGAUACAUUGUUUUAUAGUAAAUAAAAGAAACUAUGUAAACUCCAUACAGUAAUAGGAAAAGUAUGUAGAUAUAUCGGAUAGCUGCUUUAAAUUAAAACAAAGUUUAUAUAAAGUGAACUAUGAAUUAUUGGGAAAAAGUUUGUAGAUAUAUUGGAUAGUUGCUUUUUAGUAUUAUAAAACAAAGUUUAUAUAAGUGAACUCCAUAAAUUAAUGGGAAAGGUAUGUAAAUGUAUUGGAUAAUUGCUUUUAAUUACUAUAAACAUUUUUUUUAUAUAAAGUGAACUCCAUGAAUUUAUGGAAACAGAAUGUAGAUAUAUUGGAUAGUUGCUUUUAAGUAUUAUAAAACAAUGUUUAUAUAAAGUAACCCUAUACAUUAAUGGGAGAAGAAUGUAUAUAAAUUGGAUAGUUGCAUUUAAUUACUAUAAAAGUGAGUUUAUUCAAAAUAAACCCCAUACAUUAAUAGAGAAAGUCUGUAAAUAUAUUGGAUAGUUGCUUUUAAUUACUAUAAAAUAUUGUUUAUAUAAAGUAAUGACUAUAAAAAAUAUGGCUUUGCAAGCUAUUAUAAUGUGAUCUUAUUUUUUU